AGCGAACGCUGGCGGCAGGCUUAACACAUGCAAGUCGAGCGGGCGUAGCAAUACGUCAGCGGCAGACGGGUGAGUAACGCGUGGGAACAUACCUUUUGGUUCGGAACAACCCAGGGAAACUUGGGCUAAUACCGGAUAAGCCCUUACGGGGAAAGAUUUAUCGCCGAAAGAUUGGCCCGCGUCUGAUUAGCUAGUUGGUGAGGUAACGGCUCACCAGGGCGACGAUCAGUAGCUGGCUGAGAGGAUGAUCAACCACAUUGGGACUGAGACACGGCCCAAACUCCUACGGGAGGCAGCAGUGGGGAAUAUUGGACAAUGGGGGCAACCCUGAUCCAGCCAUGCCGCGUGAGUGAUGAAGGCCCUAGGGUUGUAAAGCUCUUUUGUGCGGGAAGAUAAUGACGGUACCGCAAGAAUAA
Molecule: ribosomal RNA, 416 nt
Filed under: uncultured bacterium
Lineage: Bacteria
Description: bacterial SSU rRNA
Rfam family: Bacterial small subunit ribosomal RNA
Source: RNAcentral